Long non-coding RNA from Sphaeramia orbicularis (orbiculate cardinalfish), 92 nucleotides. RefSeq lists it as uncharacterized. Lineage: Eukaryota; Metazoa; Chordata; Actinopteri; Kurtiformes; Apogonidae. The transcript has 4 exons. The record is from RefSeq and is a predicted model, not a curated record.
AUUAUUUUAAAUUUAACAAGUUUCCUUGUGUGGGUCAAAAAUGACGUGCAUUCAUUUUCAAUGGAAUUUCAUCUGAACCUUUGAUUCAUUCU